UACGAAGGGUGCAAGCGUUACUCGGAAUUACUGGGCGUAAAGCGUGCGUAGGCGGUUUGUUAAGUCUGUCGUGAAAGCCCCGGGCUCAACCUGGGAAUGGCGAUGGAAACUGGCGAGCUAGAGUACGGUAGAGGAGAGUGGAAUUCCCGGUGUAGCAGUGAAAUGCGUAGAGAUCGGGAGGAACAUCGGUGGCGAAAGCGCUCUACUGGACGACAACUGACACUCAGGGACGAAAGCUAGGGGAGCGAAUGGG
This 253-nucleotide ribosomal RNA is filed under the name uncultured bacterium. RNAcentral's name for it is "partial 16S ribosomal RNA". It matches the Rfam family "Bacterial small subunit ribosomal RNA", at positions 524 to 776 of the family's 1533-position model. The record is from RNAcentral.